AUUGAACGCUGGCGGCAUGCUUAACACAUGCAAGCCGAACGGUAACAGGCCCUUCGGGUGCUGACGAGUGGCGGACGGGUGAGUAAUGCUUAGGAAUCUACCUAGUAGUGGGGGAUAACCCGGGGAAACUCGGGCUAAUACCGCAUACGCCCUACGGGGGAAAGGCGGGGACGUUUCGGGUCCUCGCGCUAUUAGAUGAGCCUAAGUCCGAUUAGUCUAGUUGGUAGGGUAAUGGCCUACCAAGCGACGACGGUAGCUGGUCUGAGAGGACGACCACGCCACACUGGGA
Molecule: ribosomal RNA, 289 nt
Filed under: uncultured bacterium
Lineage: Bacteria
Description: partial 16S ribosomal RNA
Rfam family: Bacterial small subunit ribosomal RNA
Source: RNAcentral